AGAGUUUGAUCAUGGCUCAGAGCGAACGCUGGCGGCAGGCUUAACACAUGCAAGUCGAGCGGGCGUAGCAAUACGUCAGCGGCAGACGGGUGAGUAACGCGUGGGAACGUACCUUUUGGUUCGGAACAACACAGGGAAACUUGUGCUAAUACCGGAUAAGCCCUUACGGGGAAAGAUUUAUCGCCGAAAGAUCGGCCCGCGUCUGAUUAGCUAGUUGGUGAGGUAAUGGCUCACCAAGGCGACGAUCAGUAGCUGGUCUGAGAGGAUGAUCAGCCACAUUGGGACUGAGACACGGCCCAAACUCCUACGGGAGGCAGCAGUGGGGAAUAUUGGACAAUGGGCGCAAGCCUGAUCCAGCCAUGCCGCGUGAGUGAUGAAGGCCCUAGGGUUGUAAAGCUCUUUUGUGCGGGAAGAUAAUGACGGUACCGCAAGAAUAAGCCCCGGCUAACUUCGUGCCAGCAGCCGCGGUAAUACGAAGGGGGCUAGCGUUGCUCGGAAUCACUGGGCGUCAAGGGUGCGUAGGCGGGUCUUUAAGUCAGGGGUGAAAUCCUGGAGCUCAACUCCAGAACUGCCUUUGAUACUGAAGAUCUUGAGUUCGGGAGAGGUGAGUGGAACUGCGAGUGUAGAGGUGAAAUUCGUAGAUAUUCGCAAGAACACCAGUGGCGAAGGCGGCUCACUGGCCCGAUACUGGCGCUGAGGCACGAAAGCGUGGGGAGCAAACAGGAUUAGAUACCCUGGUAGUCC
RNAcentral lists this ribosomal RNA (744 nucleotides) under uncultured bacterium. Its description in RNAcentral is "bacterial SSU rRNA". It matches the Rfam family "Bacterial small subunit ribosomal RNA", at positions 8 to 796 of the family's 1533-position model. The record is from RNAcentral.